RNAcentral lists this ribosomal RNA (646 nucleotides) under uncultured bacterium. RNAcentral describes it as "bacterial SSU rRNA". It matches the Rfam family "Bacterial small subunit ribosomal RNA", at positions 807 to 1461 of the family's 1533-position model. The record is from RNAcentral.
CGAUGGAUGCUAGCUGUCCGGGGCGAAUGAGUUCUGGGUGGCACAGCGAAAGCGUUAAGCAUCCCACCUGGGGAGUACGCCGGCAACGGUGAAACUCAAAGGAAUUGACGGGGGCCCGCACAAGCGGAGGAACAUGUGGUUUAAUUCGAUGAUACGCGAGGAACCUUACCCGGGCUCAAACGGCACAGGGAUACUUUUGAAAGGAGGUAGCUCUACGGAGACUGUGCCGAGGUGCUGCAUGGGUGUCGUCAGCUCGUGCCGUGAGGUGUCGGCUUAAGUGCCAUAACGAGCGCAACCCCUAUUGUCAGUUGCCAGCAGGUAAAGCUGGAGACUCUGACGAGACUGCCGGCGCAAGCUGAGAGGAAGGCGGAUAUGACGUCAAAUCAGCACGGCCCUUACGUCCGGCGCGACACACGUGUUACAAUGGCAGGUACAGCGGGAAGCCACCCGGCGACGGGGCGCGGAACCCGAAAACCUGUCUCAGCUCGGAUUGGAGUCUGCAACCCGACUCCAUGAAGCUGGAUUCGCUAGUAAUCGCGCAUCAGCCACGGCGCGGUGAAUACGUUCCCGGGCCUUGUACACACCGCCCGUCAAGCCAUGGAAGCCGGGGGUACCUGAAGUACGUGACCGCAAGGAGCGUCCUAAG